UUUCCUAAUACUCUACCCAUUUGACUUGCCUUACAUAUUCUGACCAUAAUUUAAAAGACUAAAACACUGUUCAAGGUCAUAGAGGCUUGGACAGAUCUCCAUUCAGGAAGAAGAUCUGCUCACUUUAUCGCCGCCGUCAUUGUGCUUUUAUGUUCUUCCUCACCGUGAGAUUGUGGUGGAUCUGAGGUUCGUGUGGUCAAGCCAAGUCGCCGCCAGGAAAAUCUCUUCCAAGUCGUUGUCCUUGUUUUGUUCAUCAUUAGAUUGCGUCGGAUCUACUGAUUUAAGUCAUCGCACGGACAACGCAGACGUCGCCUUCGAGCUGCUUUUGAGUUUGUCGGAUCUACAAAUUGUAGUUUGUCUGGCUGAUUCGCCAUUGUUGAGCUCUGAGUUGGUUGGAUCUGAUUCAUUCGCUUUGUUUUCUAAUAGAUUGAGAAAAACAAUCUAUCGGAUUCCUCUUCACACUGGUGGCGACGACCCGAGACCUCCAAUUAUUUUUUAGUUAAAAGUUAAAAAAACUAAUUUGGUAGAGUUUGGCAUAUAAUUAACCAGAUUACUCUUUGGCGGCUGGUGCGGGUGAUCUUAGACGGUCAGAUUACUCUCCGACAAAAGGCGUCAGCUAGCAUUGGCAACCGACGUUGGUGAAGGCGACUAACGGUGAGAUUACUCUCCGACAAUUGGUGACGGUGACCGACAUUAAAGAUCGGAGCGAUGAUGACGACUGGUAGCAGACGGCGGCCGAAAAUCAACAGCCAGCUUCCGAUGUCGGUGACAUGAGAUUGCCUUCUAGUGGCAUCUGGUAAUUUACCAGCGGUAAUCUAUAAGAUUACUUUUUUUGACUAUCAGGGUAAUUUCAGUAAUUCAUAUGACCGUUGACUGAUUCUAGUUCAAAAGGUAAAAAUCAAGAGGCUAAUGUUUGUAGGACAAGACAUUAAAAGGUGUCUAUUUAAGAGAAAAAUUAUGUAUUUAACUAUCAUUUUUUUUACUAUCUUUAUAUUUAUGCCCCUUAAAUUUUUUUCUGGUUUAAUGAAAGACAUAUUUUUACUAUGCCACUUUAA
This is a long non-coding RNA of Morus notabilis, 1055 nucleotides long. RefSeq lists it as uncharacterized. The transcript is spliced from 2 exons. NCBI's taxonomy places the organism in Eukaryota, Viridiplantae, Streptophyta, Magnoliopsida, Rosales, Moraceae. The record is from RefSeq and is a predicted model, not a curated record.